Bombyx mori (domestic silkworm) is the source of this 1734-nucleotide long non-coding RNA. RefSeq lists it as uncharacterized. The transcript has 2 exons. The record is from RefSeq and is a predicted model, not a curated record. NCBI's taxonomy places the organism in Eukaryota, Metazoa, Arthropoda, Insecta, Lepidoptera, Bombycidae.
GCUAGUUUGUUACCUACAUGUUUGUUACUUGUCUACUGUCAAUGACACCAGUCAAUGACAUCAUAGGAAAAUUUCUAAUGUAGUUUGAUUUGAAGUUUGAGUAACAAUUUCACAAAAGAUUUCAACUAACCACGGAAAUUAUUAUACCGAAUCACUAUGUGCAUCAAUUGGUUAUUUGAAAAAAUUAAAUGACGAUUUUUUUGUAGAUUAUCAGUGAAUUUACCUAGGUAAUAAAUACCUUAACCAAUGAAUUAAGCUUACAGUUACUGAUAAAGUAGUAUCACAGGUACCAUCACAAAGCUGGAAGCCUUAAAAAUAAAUCCGUGAGGAGUGAACCUGACUUCUGCAGAAACAGGUUGUUGAUUGACUGUUGUUACUGUUCAAGUUCAAUCCUAAGUAAAUGCGUUGUGUUAUUGCUUACUAAGUUGUUCGAAUUUAUUACACCAAACAUAUUUUUCAGGUUAUAUAAAAUUUCUUAUUCUUUUUAGUUAUUUGCUUAAGUUAGAUUACUAAAAGACAAUAAGAAAAGAAUGCAAAUGUGAAACAAUUUCCCUUGCAAUUUCAAAUUUGAGACUUUUCAAUGGUCUGUUUCAGUGCUAAAUAUGAUUUAGAGUUGAAAAUCCUAACCUGAAUCAUGGUUCUUUAAGUUGUUGAUCAUCAAGUUUUCAUAUAAUCCAUUGUUAUUUUUGUUAUAUUAUUGUAUCCAGAACUUUACCACUAUUCUGCAUUUUUAUUGCAUAAUCAACUUAAAGUGUGUCUUUACUCUGAGGAUUCGUUUUAUAAUUACUAUUCAAGCACUGUAACUUAAACUGUGUCAAGGAUAGCUUACUCUUUGCAUUGCCCUUUUUUUUCAUAUUGUUGCUAAUUUAUUUGCUAUAAUUUGUUCCUUCAUCCAUUUGAAAUAACAUUAUAAUUAUAAAUAUUACACAUUAAAUGUUUAAAAAACUUCCUUCUUUGUUAUCUGUAAUUCAGGCACCAACCAUUUUACAUAGAACAAUAUUUUUUAUUAUAAUAUUUUACUUAGAAAAUCAUUGCAAUCACCAACAUUUGUAGGUACCGUCUAAUUAAAAAUAUAUAGAUAGCUAUACUUUACUCCUGAACAUUUAAUAAAAACUCAGACAUCUUUUAUUUUAUUGCAUCAUUGCAAAUCAAUUUCUACCUGAGACGGUGCUUCAACUAACUUAGUAAGUCCAUGAGCAUUAUGCUUACCUAUAUGAUUAGAAAUUAGACAUUUAAUUUGAACGCCGGUUUGGUAAGCUAGAAAAAGCAUCCACACUGACUACAUUUUGGAACUAUCAGUAAAUAUUCAAAUAUAUAUACCUAUCAAAAUUGUAUGUAGGUAAUCUAAAUGUUUGAUUAGAAUGAACAUUUCUAUAUUCUAAUGGUACAUUAUGUAAUAUAAUUUAAAUUCGUAAUUUUUGUUAAUCCAUAUACACUUUAGUUAAUUAUUGCUAGGUUUAUCAAUAAUAUAAAAAUUACUAAAAUUCAAGAUUUAACUUUAAGAUAAUAUUUAUCUGCUAAAUAUCAUCUGGAUUGUGAGUUGUUAUGUUAAAUUUAUUUUUUCGUGGUAAUUUUUUUGUAUUCGGUUUAUUAUUGUAUUGUAUUAGUACAGCUUGUUGAUUAUUGUUAUCUUUUAUAAUUAGAGCUUACAAAUUAUGUUAGUACAAAUACAUUUUAUAAUAAGUAGGAUUGAUAUUGUUAUAAAUAAAAACGCAACUAUUAUGACACAUUCAA